AGUUAACGUUCAAUUUUUGAAGUUUCUCUAGCUUUUUUGUUGGGUGAAAUCAGUAUAAGAAGCUCUUUCUUCUUUAAAAAUUAGUAGGAACUAAAAAACUUUGAUUUAAAACCAGGAUUAGAUACCCUGUUAUUCUCAGUUAUUCUUAAACAGGGUAGUAAAAGUUGUUCUUCAAACCCAAAGAUUUUGGCGGCACUUUAUCCAAAUAGAGGAGCUUGUCCCUUAAUCGAUAGUCCUCGUUUUAUCUUUCCUUCAUUUGUAAAGCUUGUAUACCGCCGUUGUCAGAUUACUUUUAGAGAAUGUUUUCAAGUUAAAAGACUUUAUAACUUCAGGUCAAGGUGCAGUUUAUAUGGGGGUGGAGGUGAGCUACAGUUUUCUUUAGAAAAUAUGGAUUCUAAGCUUUGAAGCUAGCUGAAGGUGGAUUUACUAGUAAAGUAAUUUAAGUAAA
This 448-nucleotide ribosomal RNA is filed under the name Daphnia galeata. RNAcentral describes it as "partial 12S ribosomal RNA". The record is from RNAcentral. Lineage: Eukaryota; Metazoa; Arthropoda; Branchiopoda; Diplostraca; Daphniidae.